UGCUGUGUGUGUUUGCAUAUUAAUCUGGGCUAACGUUGGUGCAACUUUGCUUCAAAAUUAUAUUAAAAAUUGCUUAAAGCUGAGACAAUACUUAUUACAAUGUCAGCAAUGGCACCUUAACUUUUUGACAAUCACAUGAGUUAUGUAUUUGAAAGUUAACUUAUGGUAGUUUUGUCUAGUUGGCAAUAUACUGAUGAUGUAGGAUAUAAUUAAAUGUCUGUAUUCAAUAUACAUAUGUACUCACCUAAUGCCCCAGGAAGCACAUUAGAGAGGGUUAAAAAAUAGCGUUGGACACAGGUCUUGUUGGAAUUACCAAUCUAACGUAUUUAAUUGAUCAGCACCAAAUUUUCACUCAUCCAGUUCUACAUAACCUUUGACAACAGGGAUGUCAUAUGCAGUGACUGGAAAGCCCCAGAACCAAAUGUUUUUUUCACUUCAUACAGACACACCUUCCAAUCAACAGGCUCUCAACAUGAUCUGCCUUGUCAUGCAGAGUGACACCUGUAUGGGGCAUGAAAUACCACUUCUUAAAGCACUGAAAAUACAACAAAACAGAAGCAGCUCGCAGUGUUGCGCUAAAGAAGAGGCUGGCAAGUGCAGUAUAGUGCUUAGUGCUCAAAGACUGGGGCGAUUGACAGGCAGUGGAUAGGGCUGAAACAGGAAGAGCAGACAGAACUACAAAGAAAGAUUAAGAUGGAUACAUAGCUGACUUGACUGGCUGUAAUACUAAUGCCCUCUCUUCGACAGCUGUUUUAACCGUUUUAAGUUUAAGAAAAUAGAUAAUUAACUAAACGAACAAAAGAAUAAAUAAAAGUGACUA
Molecule: long non-coding RNA, 820 nt
Organism: Etheostoma cragini (Arkansas darter)
Lineage: Eukaryota; Metazoa; Chordata; Actinopteri; Perciformes; Percidae
Exons: 3
Source: RefSeq, a predicted model, not a curated record